Molecule: long non-coding RNA, 429 nt
Organism: Harpegnathos saltator (Jerdon's jumping ant)
Lineage: Eukaryota; Metazoa; Arthropoda; Insecta; Hymenoptera; Formicidae
Exons: 3
Source: RefSeq, a predicted model, not a curated record
AGCCUACAAUUAAGUGACAGCAUAUUCCAAAUGAAUUGGCCGGCGUUGGAUAAUAACGUUAAGAAGAGCCUAUUGAUUAUUAUGAAACGUGCGGAAGCACCCAUUGAAAUUACGACUGCACAUAUCCUACUCAUGAACUUGGAUUCUUUCGUAACCUUACUCAAAACGUCGUAUUCCGCUUACAAUUUACUAGUGCGAAUGCAAGAAAAGCAAUAAUCAUUACCGACAGCACUGCAGUUAAUGGAGUCGCAUAUAGAUGUUGCACGCAUCGUAUCGUUAUUGGCAAGUUCAGAUGGUUGACUUCUCGGUUGCUUAAGUUAAGAUCAAGUAAAAGGUAUAAAUACUUAACGUGGUAAUGCAUUAUAAAAGUGUAGUAAGAAAUAACAUUAUGCGAAUCUUAAAAGUUGCGUGUACAUAACAGAAUAAAUA